This 379-nucleotide ribosomal RNA is filed under the name uncultured organism. RNAcentral's name for it is "bacterial SSU rRNA". It matches the Rfam family "Bacterial small subunit ribosomal RNA", at positions 367 to 762 of the family's 1533-position model. The record is from RNAcentral.
CGCAAUGGGCGCAAGCCUGACGGAGCGACGCCGCGUGGUUGAUGAAGUCCUUCGGGACGUAAAAACCUUUUAUGAGCUACCAAGUAAUUGAGGAGCUCAUGAAUAAGGGGUUGCUAAACUCGUGCCAGCAGCAGCGGUAAUACGAGUGCCCCAAGCGUUAUCCGGAAUCAUUGGGCGUAAAGGGUUUGUAGGUGGUUGUGUUAGUCUUGUGUCAAAUUCUUCGGCUUAACCGGGGGUCCGCACGGGAAACGGCACAACUAGAGGAUGCGAGAGGUAUAUGGAACUCAUAGUGGAGGGGUGAAAUCCGUUGAUAUUAUGGGGAACACCAAAAGCGAAGGCAAUAUACUGGCGCAUUCCUGACACUGAAAAACGAAAGCGU